AUUGAACGCUGGCGGCAUGCCUUACACAUGCAAGUCGAACGGCAGCACGGAGCUUGCUCUGGUGGCGAGUGGCGGACGGGUGAGUAAUAUAUCGGAACGUACCCUAGGGUGGGGGAUAACGUAGCGAAAGUUACGCUAAUACCGCAUACGAUCUACGGAUGAAAGUGGGGGAUCGCAAGACCUCAUGCUCAUGGAGCGGCCGAUAUCUGAUUAGCUAGUUGGUAGGGUAAAAGCCUACCAAGGCAUCGAUCAGUAGCUGGUCUGAGAGGACGACCAGCCACACUGGAACUGAGACACGGUCCAGACUCCUACGGGAGGCAGCAGUGGGGAAUUUUGGACAAUGGGCGAAAGCCUGAUCCAGCAAUGCCGCGUGAGUGAAGAAGGCCUUCGGGUUGUAAAGCUCUUUUGUCAGGGAAGAAACGGUUGUCUCUAAUACAGAUGGCUAAUGACGGUACCUGAAGAAUAAGCACCGGCUAACUACGUGCCAGCAGCCGCGGUAAUACGUAGGGUGCAAGCGUUAAUCGGAAUUACUGGGCGUAAAGCGUGCGCAGGCGGUUAUGUAAGACAGAUGUGAAAUGCCCGGGCUUAACCUGGGAACUGCAUUUGUGACUGCAUGGCUAGAGUUUGGCAGAGGGGGGUAGAAUUCCACGUGUAGCAGUGAAAUGCGUAGAUAUGUGGAGGAACACCGAUGGCGAAGGCAGCCCCCUGGGUCAAGACUGACGCUCAUGCACGAAAGCGUGGGGAGCAAACAGGAUUAGAUACCCUGGUAGUCCACGCCCUAAACGAUGUCUACUAGUUGUCGGGUCUUAAUUGACUUGGUAACGCAGCUAACGCGUGAAGUAGACCGCCUGGGGAGUACGGUCGCAAGAUUAAAACUCAAAGGAAUUGACGGGGACCCGCACAAGCGGUGGAUGAUGUGGAUUAAUUCGAUGCAACGCGAAAAACCUUACCUACCCUUGACAUGGCUGGAAUCCCUGAGAGAUCGGGGAGUCU
This 993-nucleotide ribosomal RNA is filed under the name uncultured bacterium. RNAcentral describes it as "bacterial SSU rRNA". It matches the Rfam family "Bacterial small subunit ribosomal RNA", at positions 28 to 1017 of the family's 1533-position model. The record is from RNAcentral.